RNAcentral lists this transfer RNA (77 nucleotides) under TM7 phylum sp. oral taxon 346. RNAcentral's name for it is "tRNA-Ala". It matches the Rfam family "tRNA". From Rfam's summary of the family: Transfer RNA (tRNA) molecules are approximately 80 nucleotides in length. Their secondary structure includes four short double-helical elements and three loops (D, anti-codon, and T loops). Further hydrogen bonds mediate the characteristic L-shaped molecular structure. tRNAs have two regions of fundamental functional importance: the anti-codon, which is responsible for specific mRNA codon recognition, and the 3' end, to which the tRNAs corresponding amino acid is attached (by aminoacyl-tRNA synthetases). tRNAs cope with the degeneracy of the genetic code in two manners: having more than one tRNA (with a specific anti-codon) for a particular amino acid; and 'wobble' base-pairing, i.e. permitting non-standard base-pairing at the 3rd anti-codon position. The record is from RNAcentral. Lineage: Bacteria; Candidatus Saccharimonadota. RNAcentral also lists the same sequence under 10 other names.
GGGGCAUUAGCUCAUUUGGCUAGAGCGCUUCGCUGGCAGCGAAGAGGUGACCGGUUCGAAUCCGGUAUGCUCCACCA